Molecule: ribosomal RNA, 493 nt
Filed under: uncultured bacterium
Lineage: Bacteria
Description: partial 16S ribosomal RNA
Rfam family: Bacterial small subunit ribosomal RNA
Source: RNAcentral
GAGUGAACGCUGGCGAUAGGCCUAACACAUGCAAGUCGAACGGCAGCACAGUAAGAGCUUGCUCUUACGGGUGGCGAGUGGCGGACGGGUGAGGAAUACAUCGGAAUCUACUUUUUCGUGGGGGAUAACGUAGGGAAACUUACGCUAAUACCGCAUACGACCUACGGGUGAAAGCAGGGGAUCUUCGGACCUUGCGCGAUUGAAUGAGCCGAUGUCGGAUUAGCUAGUUGGCGGGGUAAAGGCCCACCAAGGCGACGAUCCGUAGCUGGUCUGAGAGGAUGAUCAGCCACACUGGAACUGAGACACGGUCCAGACUCCUACGGGAGGCAGCAGUGGGGAAUAUUGGACAAUGGGCGCAAGCCUGAUCCAGCCAUACCGCGUGGGUGAAGAAGGCCUUCGGGUUGUAAAGCCCUUUUGUUGGGAAAGAAAAGCAGCAGGUUAAUACCCCGCUGUUCUGACGGUACCCAAAGAAUAAGCACCGGCUAACUUCGUG